RNAcentral lists this ribosomal RNA (406 nucleotides) under uncultured bacterium. RNAcentral describes it as "partial 16S ribosomal RNA". It matches the Rfam family "Bacterial small subunit ribosomal RNA", at positions 30 to 526 of the family's 1533-position model. The record is from RNAcentral.
AUUGAACGCUGGCGGCAGGCCUAACACAUGCAAGUAGCACGAGUGGCGGACGGGUGCGUAAUGUCUGGGAAACUGCCUGAUGGAGGGGGAUAACUACUGGAAACGGUAGCUAAUACCGCAUACCAUCGGAUGUGCCCAGAUGGGCUUAGAUAGUAGGUGGGGUAACGGCUCACCUAGGCGACGAUCACUAGCUGGUCUGAGAGGAUGACCAGCCACACUGGAACUGAGACACGGUCCAGACUCCUACGGGAGGCAGCAGUGGGGACUAUUGCACAAUGGGCGCAAGCCUGAUGCAGCCAUGCCGCGUGUAUGAAGAAGGCCUUCGGGUUGUAAAGCACUUUCAGCGGGGAGGCGUUACCCGCAGAAGAAGCACCGGCUAACUCCGUGCCAGCCGCCGCGGUAAUUC